This is a long non-coding RNA of Bufo gargarizans (Asiatic toad), 410 nucleotides long. RefSeq lists it as uncharacterized. NCBI's taxonomy places the organism in Eukaryota, Metazoa, Chordata, Amphibia, Anura, Bufonidae. The record is from RefSeq and is a predicted model, not a curated record. The transcript has 3 exons.
AUCCCUGUUUUACGCGGGACCUGACAAAGUCACGGUUGGCCCCCAGCGGAUCCGGAGCAGGGACCACUUGUCCCUAUUGUUACGAGAGGGCUCUCCAGUUCCUCCGGCGCACUGCUGACCUCAGAAGGGUAAUGAACCUUCUUGUGAAGAAAAAUAAUGAGCAAAACUAUCACGUAAGGCAUUUACUUCAGCGCUAGCUAGAACCUCAGCAUGGAAGACACGGAUGCUAUAAAGCAAUACAUGCACCCGGGCGACCUGAAGGAAGCAGAUAAAGACACGCUAAUAAAGGCUGGAUGUAUUUUGAACAAUUUGGACAGUAAGACACCGAGACCUUAAUCAAGAAAGAGGCGGAGGAACAGGAGGAAGAACGACAAAGAAGAUCACGAAGUUCUGGCCGACGUUAAAGAAGC